CCUAGAGACUACUCUACAGAGAGUUGUUGAGUCCAUCAAAUUAAUCUUGAGACAGGCAGAUCUGCGGACGUUGAGCCAAGGUCACGAGUCCUUCGGAACAUGCUGAAUCAGCCCGCUGCAGACAGGCAGGUCUGUGGCCGCGUACCAAGGUCGCGAGUCGUGUGGAACAUGCCGAAUCAGCCCACGCCCCAGCAGCAAUCCACUGGACACCCCCUCUCCCCAUUCCACUGGCCUCUUCUCUGUACAGCCAUCUGGUUCCACACUACAAAGAUGCAGAGGACACCAGGCCACCAGACCACUGUACUGGUGGACAUUUGAAAAAACAGCUACCAAAAAAAAAAGAAAGAAAAAGAAAAAAGAAAAAACAGC
Molecule: long non-coding RNA, 369 nt
Filed under: Heterocephalus glaber (naked mole-rat)
Lineage: Eukaryota; Metazoa; Chordata; Mammalia; Rodentia; Bathyergidae
Description: lncRNA (ENSHGLG00000046049.1)
Source: RNAcentral